Molecule: long non-coding RNA, 416 nt
Organism: Papaver somniferum (opium poppy)
Lineage: Eukaryota; Viridiplantae; Streptophyta; Magnoliopsida; Ranunculales; Papaveraceae
Exons: 3
Source: RefSeq, a predicted model, not a curated record
GGAACUCUUACUGUUUGUUCAAUGGCUUUGCUAGGCCAAUGGAAGGAUGAAAUUGAAAUCCAUUCUCAGCCAGGAAUGCUUCGGUUAUAUGUGCAAUAUGGUGUUGACAGAACUACUCAUCCAAUUGCAUUAGCACAGCAUGCUGUGGUCUUAACGACAUAUGGUGUCUUAGGUGCAGCUUGUAAAUCUGAUGGGGACCCCGUACUGGUAUAGAGUGGUACUAGAUGAAGCGCAUACAAUCAUAUCCUCAAGGACCCGAGAGGCUCAUACAAUCAUAUCUAGGCCUGUCAAUGGAAGAAUAUCCGUCGCAUAUUUAGAAAUCCGAUAUCCGACAGGUUAAGCACUGUCGGAUAUUCGGUAUCCGAUUAUAUCCUAUAGGAUAUCAAAAUAAGAUAUCGAUUCCGAUAGGUUAAGCU